RNAcentral lists this ribosomal RNA (229 nucleotides) under uncultured bacterium. Its description in RNAcentral is "partial 16S ribosomal RNA". It matches the Rfam family "Bacterial small subunit ribosomal RNA", at positions 15 to 240 of the family's 1533-position model. The record is from RNAcentral.
GAUCCUGGCUCAGGAUGAACGCUGGCGGCGUGCUUAACACAUGCAAGUCGAACGGACGAUGAAGAGCUUGCUUUUCAGAGUUAGUGGCGGACGGGUGAGUAACGCGUGGGUAACCUGCCUCAUACAGGGGGAUAGCAGCUGGAAACGGCUGAUAAAACCGCAUAAGCGCACAGCAUCGCAUGAUGCAGUGUGAAAAAACUCCGGUGGUAUGAGAUGGACCCGCGUUUGA